This 252-nucleotide ribosomal RNA is filed under the name uncultured bacterium. RNAcentral's name for it is "partial 16S ribosomal RNA". It matches the Rfam family "Bacterial small subunit ribosomal RNA", at positions 525 to 776 of the family's 1533-position model. The record is from RNAcentral.
ACGGAGGAUGCGAGCGUUAUCCGGAUUUAUUGGGUUUAAAGGGUGCGUAGGCGGUUUGUUAAGUCAGCGGUGAAAUCUAGAGGCUCAACCUCGAAACUGCCGUUGAAACUGGCGAACUUGAGUGUAGAUGAGGUAGGCGGAAUUCGUGGUGUAGCGGUGAAAUGCAUAGAUAUCACGAGGAACUCCGAUUGCGAAGGCAGCUUACUAAGGUACAACUGACGCUGAAGCACGAAAGCGUGGGUAUCAAACAGG